UGUUUAUGUUGUUUUUAUGGUGCUUUGGAAGGGCCAGAUGGAGGGGAGCAGUGGCUGCAUGUAUUCUCUCAGGAAUGGGUAAACCUCAGGACACAGAAUCUAUAGGCACUGGCCCUGCCCCAAAAUGGGGGGCUCCCUCUACCAGAGUCCACAUGGAGUCUGGACUUGAUUCAGCUGAAGAAGUCUUUGAUGACAGGAAGCAUGGUGGCCUAGACAUGGUGCUGGAGAGGCCGUUGGAAGGUCUGGAUCUUUGCAGGCAGCAGGAAGAGAGACCCUGGGACCAGCUUGAGCAUGUGAAAUCUCAAAGCCCACCCCCAGUGACGCAUUGCCUCCAACAAGGCCACAACUACGGACCUAUGGGGACUGUUUUCAUUCAGAUCACCACACUUGGGGAAGUUGAGCUGAUUGCCCUGCUCUUCCCGGCUUCUGAGUCCACAGGGCAGGGAGAGUCAAAGGUCCUCGGUGGGAUUUUCCAGAUGAUGGUCUUUUAAAGCCAGGCCUGAGUCCACUUCAUUCUCUAAUUUUUCCGAACACUGCAGAUGGGUAGGUAGCCCUUGUGAAGUUAAGAGAAUUCUCAACAAUUCCCUACUUUCUCUUGAACAGUUCAACCUUGGAUAUGUUCAGAAAGGGCAUUUGUCACCAUCUUAUGAACACUGGCUCUCAUUGGGUAAGGUUCUCCCUAGAGCAGAGGUUCUUCACCUUCCUUUAAUACGAUUUGUUCCUCUUGUUGUGGUGACCCCCCUAGUCAUAAAAUUAUUUCGUUGCUACUUCAUAACUGCAAUUUUGCUACUGUUAUGAGUUGUAAUGUAAAUAUCUGAUAUGCAGAAUGAUAGCAGAUGAUAUUUGACCCCCCUCCCAAGGGAUCCUGACCCACGGGUUGAGAACCAUUGCUCUAGAGAGUGUUUUAUUAGAUUCAGUAGAUAGUUGCACACUGGUACAUACUGGUAUUUCCCUAUUUUAUGGGUGAGGAGACUCACACUCAGCUAAGCUGGAGGAUGUGCUGAAGAUCAGCAAUGACCAUGGUAAUGGAUGUCUCAGCUGUCUUCCAAGUGACAACACCGACUUACAACACAAACAGCGACACUAUCCUUCUCCGGUGAGCUGGUGCUGUUGGUUGAAAGAGGGGUCCUACUAGACGGGACAAACACUUUCUCUGCUGCCAGAAAAGGUGACAGAAAUGGCAGCUUCCAAGUCCCCUGCUGUAGAGAGCUUGAAGUAGGGAUGGUGGAAAGGCCAGAAUGGGUGGGAAGGAGAGCAGCACUUGUUUCUGAAGCCACCACUGUCUCUCAAGGGGGAAUGCGGAUGUCCUCAGAGUCACCUUUGAUCCCACACGGGAAACUUAAACAGACACUAACCCGCGAGCACAUUACCACUUACCCCUCAUUUUCUCAUUCACAAAAUUAAGUCAUGAUACCCUUGGGGGCGGGGGAUAAGCCGCAGCGUUGGCUGUACAGUAUGCAGUCAAUAUCACUACAGGUAGCAGAUUGAGUUUAACAAGCCAUAUGGGUUGUAAUUGUCCAAGUAUGAUUAAUUCAUAAUGUUUGUUCAUUUUAUGUCUUAGAUUAUGGUUUGUUAUUAUUUCAUCCAAUUACAGCGCUAAAUCCCUUUUCUAGAUGGUGUUGGGAACCCUUAGGGAUUUUAAUGUUUCCCCAGUGACAGCCAUGACCUCUCUCUGUCUCUGGACUCUGUCUGGGACUCCUUCGUAUUGGCAGAAAAGGAUGACGUGAAGUUGGAGCAGAUGGUGCAUCCGUCCGUUGCUGAACUCUACUGGCAGCCCAGAGGAAGACUUGAUACUGAAGAGUUCCUGCCCUGACUGUUACCAGGUACCACAGUUUUAUGCUCUGCUCUGAGAUGCCAAGCACCCCAAUCUGAGUCCAGUACCAUAGAUGAACGCUGACUUUGUGCUGGGACUCCAGUGGACGCUGCUGCUGAAGAUGGGGAGGAUACUUAAGAUGCUGCUGCUGUUGCUGCUGUUGCUGCUGCUGCCGCUGCUGCCGCCGCCGCCACCGCCGCUGCUGCUGCUGCUGCUGAGGUUGAGGAAGUCACUAGUGACAUGGGAGAGGAUAGCAAAUCUUAUCUGAUGAUGACAUCUAAAGAACUCAAUGUCUGGGAGGCCCUUAUAAAUGUUGAUAACCCAAGAUAGAAACUCUGCCAGUCAAUCCGAUACUUCAAAGCCUCCACCUCCAGAAAUCAACUUUGACAGUGCCCAGAAAUUCUAUCUAGGGAAAAAUGGGUUGAACCUCACGUGUGAGCUAAAAACGUGUUUGUGUGUGUGUGUGUGUGUGUGUGUGUGUGUGUGAAAGAAAACAAGGUUAGCCCAUAAGACAAGUAAUUUUUCUAAGAUGAAUACCCUCAGUGGUCCCUCUUACUUUAUACAACAAGCGAGACUGAGUUUAGAGAGAUUAAGGCCCCAGGUCACCCAACUGUAAGCGGUGGAAGUAGGGUUUGAGCCCAUCCUCCUAAUAAACUCACCAGUUCUCAACCACGACCUCCAUGAAGAUUCCUUAGAAGCCAUUAUUUUUCUUGCCAAAGAAGCUAUACCCAGUUUUCAUCCUGAUCCCAGGCCAUCUUUGUUGUCUUGGAUGAAGGGUCACAGCAGACAACUGUAUUUGUGAGCUCACAAAAUGUGACUUUGGUUGUGAAUACAAUAUUACAAAACCAUAGUUCAGAUCUUAACACCUUCCUGGGCAUGAAUGAUGGGUAUCAAAUGAAUGUCAGCGGUGUGGAGGAGAAGAAAGAAUGCUACCUAGGGUUCAGAACAAGUCUGUCCCUCAUGAGGGGUAGGAGGUGGUCAAGUUGUUGGACUUCUCUGAGUCACUUUAAAGGAUAACACUAGAGUGAAUGAUGUCCAGGGUUCUCCAUGUUGUAAGGUCCACAAUUUUAAAAUGAUGGAAGCCACAGGUCAUAUGCGGAAAUAACCCAUAUCGGUUUUGUGCCAUUGCUUGUAUUAAUGUGAAAACGCAAUUUAUUUAAAGACAAGCAAACAACAUUUCACUACAGUUUGAAAAUGGCAAGAGGCAAACGGUGUGCUGUGAAGCCUUCCUUUCCGAGGGCUGGGGCUCACCCCUCUGGGAAGGGCCAGAGAGGCUAGUAACUGCCGGUUUCCCUGAAAAAAGGGCUGCAGUGUGGUUAUGCCAAGAACUCUGUGUCGACCUGGCUCCGAUCCCGGGUCUCUUGUUCAUGCCUGCUCCUGCCAGCUGCUGCUUUCUGCUCUAGCUGUUUGGAAUCUGGGCCUGGCAACAUGGGUCUGCCUUGGCAUGCCUCUUGUAUGUCUCUUUCUGUGUGUGCCUGUGUCUGUGUGUGCCUGCAGACUCAGCAUGUCAUAAUGGAGAGGAAUAAAAACAGUGCCCAGAUGUGGGCCUUCAUCUUUA
Myodes glareolus (Bank vole) is the source of this 3371-nucleotide non-coding RNA. The record is from RefSeq and is a predicted model, not a curated record. Lineage: Eukaryota; Metazoa; Chordata; Mammalia; Rodentia; Cricetidae.